This is a long non-coding RNA of Phyllostomus hastatus (greater spear-nosed bat), 2479 nucleotides long. RefSeq lists it as uncharacterized. The transcript is spliced from 3 exons. The record is from RefSeq and is a predicted model, not a curated record. NCBI's taxonomy places the organism in Eukaryota, Metazoa, Chordata, Mammalia, Chiroptera, Phyllostomidae.
ACCCCCGUGUCCAGCUGACGGGGGCCGUCGGGCUGUGGGUUUCCCGCUGGGACUGGUUUCUCAGCCCGCUCUGCGGGGUCACGCGGAGCGCGGCGGUGGGGCUGCCCUCUAGCCCACCCCGGUGGUGCCUCUCGGUGGGCACCUGCCCUGCGUCCUCCGGGGUGGGAGCCCGCCCGGCCGACUUGGUUCACAUGUGGUCGCUCGUCAGCGAUCACACGGGUUACCGGCAGGAUGUGGUGCCUUUUCUCUGCUUUGAAAAGAGGCCGUGGUGUGCGGAAUGAACGUGAUACAAUAAAAGCAUGGAGGGGAGGCCACGAUUUUCAUCCCGGAGCUCUCUGACUUAGGUGGAGGCUCGGGCCAAGGUCUGUGCUGUAGCCCGUAGCAGAAGCUGCACUUCCGCUCCAGCACCGUUUGCUGAGAAGGGCGGUGAUCUGGCUGUUCCUUCGUCGAGAGCGAAUCGACCGUGUUCAGCUGGGCCGUGCGUGACCCGCGGAGAAGCGGACCGUGUGAGGACCUGCGCUGCACCGCUCCUCGCGGGGUCCCGUGUGCCCUCUGAACGCCGCCUGGCCCCGAGCGGACGGCAGAGGCGGCCGGGGCCGCAUUUCACUUUCCAGUCUUCACAGCGGACCGGUCCCGGGUGACCGGGAGGUCCCUCUUGGGAGUGCGUCCCGGACGCCCUCCAGGUGCCGCUGCCGGGCGGACCGCGCCGGACACUCGGAGCACUGUUGCCGGGGCCUCUGCCACUAAAACGGGAGCACGGCGUCCGGGCUCCUGUUCUCAAGACUCUGCGUGUGUUUGUCACGUUCCUCGUGGUGCGAACCUCUGCUGGGCGGCUCGGGGGCCGUCCGGGGAGGCCUGGGGGUCCAGGAGCCCAGCCACGGCCGCCUGGCCGGAGGCUCUCUGUGCUGGGUCCAUGCCUGAGCUCCCACGGGUGUUUUCCUGCUUCCGCCCCCAUCCCCCCGCCCCAACCAGACCACACGGGAGCUUCCCGGGGACCCCGCCCCCUCGGGACCUCUGGGUGCAAGGUGGGGGCACUGGAACGGUGCCCUUGAGCCCUGGCAGGUUGGCUCCACUGUAACCUCUCAGCGGGUGAGGUCUGGGCCCUCACAACACAGCGAACGGCCCCUCCUAUGAGGGAAACUCUCUCCUAGUUUCCAGGCCCGGUGGGUGGCCCGGGGAGACCUUCGCCCGCCCUGGAGGGCCUGCCCGGGGAGAGUCUCACGGCGCGCCUGCCCCGCUUCCUCGAGAAGCCGGAGCGUGUCUGUUGUUCCUUGUGGGCGUUCGGUGGCGGGUGUCCGUCUUCCACGCAAGCGGCUCCCUGCGGGGUGCGGGCUGGUGCUUCCGAGUCGGCGGCCGGGCUGGUCAGCGGCAGCGACGUCGUCGGCAGAGGAGAGCACGUCGCAGGGGUCGUGCGUUCAGGGUCUGAGGGUGACGUGGGCGUUCGGGGUGGAUGAGCUCCCACCCGCCCGGGCACUGGGUGGUCGGCAGAGCCAGUGACCGACCACGCUGCUCCCUGAGCUCCCGGCAGACGGCCAGCCAGGACGGAAGGUCAGACACUGAACACGGAGGUGGAUGCAGUUGUGAUGAGGCAGCUGCUCCCAAACCCACAAAGUGCUGAGGUCCCAGCGGGCACCUAGCUCGUUGCACAAAAGUCUGGUCGCUCACGGAAGGGGCACGACCUUCUGGUCUGAGGCCGGGGUCCUGCCCGCAGGCACCCAGCCAGGUGCCAGGUGCACUCAGAGCGGCGAGUAAGCGGGGGAGGGGGGCCCAAUGCGUGAACCGCACCACACGGCUCCUCACCCAUCGGAGAAAGGAGGUCGCUCCCACUGGGGGAGCAGCGGGGCCCGGGAGGGUGGUGGCCGUGGACACGUGCCCCUCAGGUCUCCCGAUGCCUGUCUGCUCCGCCCGCAACGCGCCCCCGUGGGUUUGUGCCCAGAGCUGCCUCCCCGGGGCGGUUCCCAGACGGGGCUAACCGACCCGGACACUGAGGCAGGUCCGUCCCGGGGACGCAGGGGCGCCUUGGACCGGCGACGUGGGCCGAGGAGGACUCCACACUGGCCUUGCUGAGUUUUCUUGCAAAUGCAACGGGUCCAAGCCCCUGCUCCCCUCCCUCCCUCCUUCCUUCCUCCCCGGGGUCAGCCCCGCACUGCAAGUUAAUGUCCCCUCCCCCUGUCCCCGCAGCUUUCCUGGCCCCAUUUCCCCUCCUUGCACCCCCCCACCCCCAAAUCUCUUUCAUCUCUAAGCCUGUCCGAGCUGCUUCUCCGAAGACCUGGACGCGUCACCAGCCGACCGCCGACAGCGGGCAGACUCACGGGGACUGGCGGGGAAGGGCGACACCUUCCGAAUUUACCGUGUCCAGAGCCCGUCCGCGGGACUGAGAGAGCAGCUGGGUGUCUGCUGGUCUGAAGGGCCCUUCCCUCUCACUGCCCAGUCAACUGUGGGCUGGCACCUCUGUAAAGUCUAGGAAAAAUGAUCAGAA